ACACCGGUGGUGAAGUGGUUAUCAUGCUUGCCUUCCAUUUAUUCAGUGAGCAAGCGGCACGGGUUCGAUUCCCGUCCGGUGUA
Non-coding RNA from Schizophyllum commune H4-8, 83 nucleotides. The record is from Rfam. Lineage: Eukaryota; Fungi; Basidiomycota; Agaricomycetes; Agaricales; Schizophyllaceae.